CAGUAGCCGCGGUAAUACGUAGGUGGCAAGCGUUGUCCGGAAUUAUUGGGCGUAAAGGGCUCGCAGGCGGUUUCUUAAGUCUGAUGUGAAAGCCCCCGGCUCAACCGGGGAGGGUCAUUGGAAACUGGGAAACUUGAGUGCAGAAGAGGAGAGUGGAAUUCCACGUGUAGCGGUGAAAUGCGUAGAGAUGUGGAGGAACACCAGUGGCGAAGGCGACUCACUGGUUUGUAACUGACGCUGAGGAGCGAAAGCGUGGGAGCGAACAGGAUUAGAUACCCCCGUAGUCCCUGUCUCUUAUACA
This 301-nucleotide ribosomal RNA is filed under the name uncultured bacterium. RNAcentral describes it as "partial 16S ribosomal RNA". It matches the Rfam family "Bacterial small subunit ribosomal RNA", at positions 509 to 808 of the family's 1533-position model. The record is from RNAcentral.